AGGACGAACGCUGGCGGCGUGCUUAACACAUGCAAGUCGAGCGGAAAGGCCCUUCGGGGUACUCGAGCGGCGAACGGGUGAGUAACACGUGAGUAAUCUGCCCCUAGCUCUGGGAUAGCUCCGGGAAACCGGGAUUAAUACCGGAUACGACCACCUUAGACAUCUUUUGUGGUGGAAAGAAUUUCGGCUAGGGAUGAGCUCGCGGCCUAUCAGCUUGUUGGUGGGGUAACGGCCUACAAGGCGACGACGGGUA
RNAcentral lists this ribosomal RNA (253 nucleotides) under uncultured bacterium. RNAcentral describes it as "partial small subunit ribosomal RNA". It matches the Rfam family "Bacterial small subunit ribosomal RNA", at positions 26 to 285 of the family's 1533-position model. The record is from RNAcentral.